CUAGGCCCAUUAUUGUAUGUUGGGUUGAAAUAUACCCCAUGGCUGGGCCCAAGAUUGAAUGUUGGGUUGAAAGAAACCCCGAGGUUGGGCCCAUUAUGGUAUGAUGGGUUGGAAUAUACCCCAGGGCUAGGCCAAAUGAUAUGAAUGGUAUGUGUUUUUUUGGAGAACUCACUGAGCUUUGUGCUUACAGUUUAUGUUUGAAAUGUUUUUAGGUACUUCUGGUUUCAAAAGGAAAUGUCCGGCUUGAUUCCACUGCAUCCCCUGGAGAUUUAUUAUGCAUGUAAAGGCCUUGCAUUUCUAAGGAAUGGAUUUUAGACUCCAUUGGAUAUUUAUGGUGUUGGAUAAUUGAUUUAUAUCUUGGACUGUUCGUUGGAAAAUGAGGGGUAAAUGGGAAAGGUAUUGAUUUAGGCUUCUUGCAUAAAUUCAGGAUUUUAGUUCAAGAUGCUUUUAGUUAUAAGUAACUGGAUGGAGUUGAAACGAAGAAGUUAUGGUUGUUUGAAGUUAGCCAAAGGGAGUCUAGUAGUAUGUAAGGCAUACACAAGGGAGUACGCAUGGCGUACAUGCUGAGGGUAGGACAUGUUCUUAGUGUAGUACGUAAAGGUUAAUUUCGCUGUGUAAAAACCCUAAUUGUAGAGUUUUGAGCAAUAUUUAAGGUAUCUAACCCCUUGGGAGUGCUUCUUAUCAUUAACCUCCAACCUCUAGAACCUCUAACUCGAAACCCUACCAUCCUCUCUCUUGUUUUUAGCCUUUUCACCAUUUAUGAGCUUAUUUAUCCAUUAGAAGGUGGUAUCUUUAAGAACAAGGUGGUGGAAAAGUUUAUAGAAGACAAAUUCAAGUAUAGAUCCAACAAGAUUACAUCAUUUUUGGACCAUUGUGAAUAAAAAGCUUCAAACGUGCUCGUUAUUUUCAUACAUCAUGUUAAUUUUCAUAUUUGUCACUUUUUGGUCACUUUAUUGCAUAAAUUUUAGAGCUUGAAAGUUUGUGACCUUGUUAUAGAUAAAGUUGGAAUCUUUAUCCAUCAAAACAUCAUAAUGAUUCAGAUCUGAAGGUUGGAGACUUGGACUUAAUGGAUUAAGAUGAGAAUGAUGUGUUUUUGGUCCCUUUGAGGCUUAAAGACAAUAUAUUGGUUGUUUGGUCCAUCCUAAUGGAUAAUGUUGGAAACUUUAUCCAUUAUGGAGCAAUUAGGAACCUAAUUUGAGUAUUGGAUGGUUAGACUUUGUGUAUAAAGUGCUUAAUUUGAAGAUUGGAAAAAGAGGUAGUAUGGGGGCGUAAUUUGGGCUACGCACAACAUAGCCUAGUUCUCACUUGUUUUUUUGGCUAAGGCUCUAUUCCUAGCGUAGAUCUAAGAGUACACAGCGCAUAGGUCAAUAGAAGGUUGACUGUUAACUUUUUAACCAAUUGACAUUUGGUAAAUUGUCAUGGGUUUAAGACUUAGAAGGGGCAAAAUGGUCUUUUGCCUAAAUAAGGAUUACUCCUAUUAUUUUUGGACCUGUUAAGUUGGAAAAUUUCCAUAAUUGUUAAUCGGGGUUGUUUGAAUUAUGUCUAGAGUGAUGAGCUUUUGAUAGCUGCAACUCGAGUGUGUUUUAACCGACUUUCGAUUGAGGUGAGUCCUCUCACUAUACUUAGGGUCGAAUGCACCAAUACCAUCCCACUAGAUUGUGAUAUGUAGAAUGUUAGUUGUCUUUGUGACUCUUGCAUGUAUUAUUGGGUUGAAAUAUACCCCAAUUCUAGGCCCAUUAUUGUAUGUUGGGUUGAAAUAUACCCCAUGGCUGGGCCCAAGAUUGAAUGUUGGGUUGAAAGAAACCCCGAGGUUGNUUGAUAGCUGCAACUCGAGUAUGUUUUAACCGACUAUCGAUUGAGGUGAGUCCUCUCACUAUACUUAGGGUCGAAUGCACCAAUACCAGCCCACUAGAUUGUGAUAUGUAGAAUGUUAGUUGUCUUUGUGACUCUUGCAUGUAUGAUUGGGUUGAAAUAUGCCCCAAUUCUAGGCCCAUUAUUGUAUGUUGGGUUGAAAUAUACCCCAUGGCUGGGCCCAAGAUUGAAUGUUGGGUUGAAAGAAACCCCGAGGUUGGGCCCAUUAUGGUAUGAUGGGUUGGAAUAUACCCCAGGGCUAGGCCUAAUGAUAUGAAUGGUAUGUGUUUUUUUGGAGAACUCACUGAGCUUUGUGCUUACAGUUUAUGUUUGAAAUGUUUUUAGGUACUUUUGGUUUCAAAAGGAAAUGUCCGGCUUGAUUGCACUGCAUCCCCUGGAGAUUUAUUAUGCAUGUAAAGGCCUUGCAUUUCUAAGGAAUGGAUUUUAGACUCCAUUGGAUAUUUAUGGUGUUGGAUAAUUGAUUUAUAUCUUGGACUGUUCGUUGGAAAAUGAGGGGUAAAUGGGAAAGGUAUUGAUUUAGGCUUCUUGCAUAAAUUCAGGAUUUUAGUUCAAGAUGCUUUUAGUUAUAAGUAACUGGAUGGAGUUGAAACGAAGAAGUUAUGGUUGUUUGAAGUUAUCCAAAGGGAGUCUAGUAGUAUGUAAGGCAUACACAAGGGAGUACGCAUGACGUACCUGCUGAGGGUAGGACAUGUUUUUAGUGGAGUACGUAAAGGUUAAUUUCGCUGUGUAAAAACCCUAAUUGCAGAGUUUUGAGCAAUAUUUAAGGUAUCUAACCCCUUGGGAGUCCUUCCUAUCAUUAACCUCCACCCUCUAGAACCUCUAACUCGAAACCCUACCAUCCUCUCUCUUGUUUUUAGCCUUUUCACCAUUUAUGAGCUUAU
Molecule: long non-coding RNA, 2753 nt
Filed under: Lactuca sativa (garden lettuce)
Lineage: Eukaryota; Viridiplantae; Streptophyta; Magnoliopsida; Asterales; Asteraceae
Description: long non-coding RNA (LSAT_LNC003793)
Source: RNAcentral